GACGAACGCUGGCGGCGUGCUUAACACAUGCAAGUCGAACGAAGUGGCGAACGGGUGAGUAACGCGUAAUUAACCUGCCCUUAAGAGGGGGACAACAGUUGGAAACGACUGCUAAAACCGCAUACUGAAGGAGGGGAUUGCGUCUGAUUAGCGAGUGGGAGGGGUAACGGCCCACCAAGGCGAUGAUGAGUAGCCGGUCUGAGUGGAUGAACGGCCACAUUGGGACUGAGACACGGCCCAGACUCCUACGGGAGGCAGCAGUGGGGAAUCUUCCGCAAUGGACGAAAGUCUGACGGAGCAACGCCGCGUGAGUUAUGACGGCCUUCGGGUUGUAAAGCUCUGUUAAUCAGGACGCGGUACCGGAAUAGAAAGCCACGGCUAACUACGUGCCAGCAGCCGCGGUAAUUC
RNAcentral lists this ribosomal RNA (408 nucleotides) under uncultured bacterium. Its description in RNAcentral is "partial 16S ribosomal RNA". It matches the Rfam family "Bacterial small subunit ribosomal RNA", at positions 28 to 526 of the family's 1533-position model. The record is from RNAcentral.